Oncorhynchus nerka (sockeye salmon) is the source of this 533-nucleotide long non-coding RNA. RefSeq lists it as uncharacterized. The record is from RefSeq and is a predicted model, not a curated record. NCBI's taxonomy places the organism in Eukaryota, Metazoa, Chordata, Actinopteri, Salmoniformes, Salmonidae. The transcript is spliced from 3 exons.
UUAUACAGUAGAGAUACAUUUGAUCAACUUGGUUUACACAGUCUGUUUCCUGUCUUGUGUUUCAUGUUCCCUAAGCCCUGGCCUAAAACCAACCCCAGACUUCCACUGGCCUUGCGUUGGGAUCAUCACAUUUUAGCAGGUGUGGGAUUUGAGAAGGAGAGAUCAUUUGGUGGUGUGUACAUGGACUGUGAAGGCCACCAGGGAGAGUUGGCAAGGCAUAAUUUACCCCAGCCAACAAGCAUGCCGAGGCAGAUACAUAGCAUUCCCCAAUGAUGACCCAAUACUGCCAACAAAAGCUGCUGUAGCCGUGUCCCAGGGAGGUUGUAAAGACGGAGAAGAGGCUUCUUGGUAGGCCUAUAUACAGCAGGGAUUGUUUGUACCUCUACCUUGGUCUUUCUGCUUCAGUGGAAACAAAAGACUGUUGACAUCAGUAAGUGAAACUGGAGCUUGUUGAGAAUUGUGGGACAUUCAUACUCCGUGAACCUGUUUCGGUAAGUCAAUCCUUCAUGGCCUGUUUAGUAUCAGUUCCCCUC